This 351-nucleotide long non-coding RNA is filed under the name Brassica napus (rape). RNAcentral describes it as "long non-coding RNA (BNAP_LNC022123)". Lineage: Eukaryota; Viridiplantae; Streptophyta; Magnoliopsida; Brassicales; Brassicaceae. The record is from RNAcentral.
UUCAUGUUUAAUGAUGCUAACUAAAGAGUUUUAGAAGAUACUUUUUGGGAAUGUGUGAAACGCGGUAUUGUUUGAUUAAUUAUUUUAGUUCAUGUUUCUUAAAAUGUUCACUGUUCUGUAAUUAUGUUUGAGAUAGAUUUAGUGGAUGUGUCAAGAAUCAUGUGCAGAGGAAGGAGGAAGAAGAAGAAUACAUGUAGUAUAAGACAGUUUGUGUUCAACGGUUAACAAAAGAAACAUGAGAGCAUAAUUGGUUCGGUUGAUCAUGGUUUUACCUAUCUAGUUUUACCAGUGACCCGGGUUUCAUCCUCGUAUUAUGCAUUUUUCUGUAAAAAAUAAAUUGCUCAAAACUAC